Molecule: ribosomal RNA, 460 nt
Filed under: uncultured bacterium
Lineage: Bacteria
Description: bacterial SSU rRNA
Rfam family: Bacterial small subunit ribosomal RNA
Source: RNAcentral
UUACGGGAGGCAGCAGUGGGGAAUUUUGCGCAAUGGGCUAACGCCUGACGCAGCAACGCCGCGUGGAGGAUGAAGGUCUUUGGAUUGUAAACUCCUGUCGACCGGGAAAAAGCGAGCCGACCUAACACGUCGGUGAGUUGAUUGUACCGGUGGAGGAAGCCCCGGCUAACUCUGUGCCAGCAGCCGCGGUAAUACAGAGGGGGCAAGCGUUAUUCGGAAUUAUUGGGCGUAAAGGGCGCGUAGGCGGCUUGGCAAGUGGAAGGUGAAAUCCCUCGGCUUAACCGAGGAACUGCCCUCCAAACUGCUUUGCUUGAGGCCGGGAGAGGCGAGUGGAAUUCCCAGUGUAGCGGUGAAAUGCGUAGAUAUUGGGAGGAACACCAGUGGCGAAGGCGGCUCGCUGGACCGGUUCUGACGCUGAGGCGCGAAAGCGUGGGGAGCAAACGGGAUUAGAUACCCCGGU